Molecule: long non-coding RNA, 3883 nt
Organism: Brassica rapa (field mustard)
Lineage: Eukaryota; Viridiplantae; Streptophyta; Magnoliopsida; Brassicales; Brassicaceae
Source: RefSeq, a predicted model, not a curated record
AUAAUUUAAUAUUUUGAAGUUAAAAUAAGUUGUGUUGAAAAUUAUUAAGUUAAGAUGUAUAAAUAAAUUUUAUAAUAGAUUAAUGUAUUAAAAUUUAUAAAUUAGUUAUAAAUCAAUCUAAAACAAUGCAUAAAUGAUAAUAAAUAAUUUAAUAAUAUUUAAUAACUUUUAGUGAUAAAACCCUUCAACUAUUUUUGAAUCGUAAAAAAAAAACUUCAACAAAGUUUUCAACACUAUAAACCCCCAACUUAUAAACCGCUAACAUAUGUCACCUUCCGUCACGGUUUUUUAGACGGAGGGUAACAUAUGUUAACGGAAUUAAAGUUGAGAGUUAUUCCACAGGAUUUUUAGUUGAGGGUUUUUUUUAAGAUUAAUCUUUAGUUGAGGGGUUUAAUUACUAAAAACCCUUUAACUAACUAGCAUGGGUGAAACCACCAAAACGACAUGAAAUUAAAGUUUAAAUUCUCAAAGAAGCCAAAUAAACACCCGAAUCUAUUCUAAUAGUCUUACAUCCAUCUAAUAACUGUUCAGUUUAUCCUAUCAAAUGCAGCAUGUUUAAAAUUAGCACAAAAUGAUAUUGAGUGGUCUUCUCAUGCCUCAUUGUUCUUAAACGAAACAACUUUUAAUUUCGGUUUGGGUAAAAAAAGAACGCUUUAUCACCAUCUAACACUCUAACACUCUUUAUAGGCAAUUUCUAUCAAGCAAUUUUACGCUGCUACAUAACCACCUUCGUUCGGUAGGUUCAAAUGAAACCACAGCCUCAACUGUCACCACAACACGAUCGAAACCCUCACCACAAGGACAAAAACUUUAAUUUUGCAACCAAUAACUUCUACACUAAUUUACCAAAAUUAUACUCUCAACAUAUUUUAUAUGUUUCAUAUAUAUAGACAAUCCGCGCGAAGCGCGGACAUACAACUAGUAUAUAAUAAAGCGUAAGAUCAUAGUUAUUGAUGUCUAAACCGUUGUUUAAAUAUUUUUUUAGAAGAGUGGUCGACAAAUAUCUUAGUUUUGUUUUUUAAACAAGGCCUAAAAUAUGAUCUUACAUUCGUCUGACCAAACAAAAACUUAGUUUAUGGCACACAAAGUUAUUUUCCAACUUAUUUCAUACUUUUUAAUGUAUCACUAAUUUAAAAAAUAUGAUUCAUCUAAUAUACCACUAAUUUUCCAAAUUACUUUUCCAUCUGUUAGAUCGCUGACAAGGAUUGUUUUCCGCCCUAAAUCAAUGCAGACUUCCAAGAUCUCCCUUUUAAUAUCAAUACAAUACUAAAAGUUGAAUAAGAUGAACAUCUAGACUAUCCACGUAGGCAAAUUAAAUCGACCUAUCAGAGUAUUGAAUUAGGCCACAUCACCCAAAUCAACCUAAACGACAUAUUUGCUUCAUCUUCUGCAAAAUCACCUAAGCUUCACCGCCGUUACUUGCCUUCUCUUCUAGACCAGUUCCCUCCUUCCGAUCAUUCUCUCUACCCUCCCCAUCCGCCUCAUUUUCCCACUUGUGUUCUUCCUGCUGGUGUGGCAUUCCAUUCGUCUGGGUUUGUUUCCAGCGACCCUGUGAGUUUCCCACGGAGCUACCCCAUUGUCUUGACGAAGGGUGAUGGAGUGAAAAUAUUUGUUAGAUUGCGUUUCGGGACCGAGUCUACGAGGAUGUUACUGAAGCUUAUCGUUUACCACCCAAUACAUACGCAGACAAGUGUAUCUGUAUCGUCUCUCACGCCCCCAAUUUCCGAGCUCUUUGGGAUUCUCUCGAGGUGAUUUUUGGUCUUUACUUCUCCUCAGAAGGAAGCUGGUAAAAACAUUCAGUGCUUAAAAAUAUGAAAGCAAACCUCCAUUCUUAUGUUUUGAAAUUGAUGUUAGUCGCCUCUUCAAUUUUUUAGUAAGCCAUUGUGGUAUGUUAUCGCUAUGUUUUCAGUCUCUAUUUUUCCUCUGUAUUUGGUAAGAUGCCAAAGGAAUCUUCAGUGACACUCUUGAUCAUAUUUUUUUUGCUUAUUGUUGCAAGUUGGAUUGUAACUUAUAGAUUGCUAAGCUGGUGAAUGAGGGGGAGGUAACUAAGGCUGAGACAAUGACUAUUGGUGAAAUCUUCGAUUACAUCAAGAAAGGAUCCGCCAAGGUAGAACUUGAGCUGUAGAUAUGCCACUCAAAUCAACAUGCUUAACUACGUAUAUCACCCGGUCGUUGACGAACGCAGGAGGUGUUUUCUUUUGUCUAUAACUGUUACCAAAGUUGUCUCUUUCUACCCACCUCUGACAGUCCCACAGGUGAAACCACAUUUGCUGCAACUGCUGAAUUGCCCCUGCUCUCUGCAAAUGUUUUGUCUGCAUCUUCCAAAGGAUGUGGAGACCUUGCUGAUGAGAGAAUGGUGGCUCAAAUAACAGUGGCGAAGCACAGGAAGCCAAAUGUGCUACCCAUGUCAAAUAGGUCUUUCCAGUUCUUAAGUUUUGUUCUGUUAUUGCUCUGUAAGAGGUCCUUUCAUAUCUUAAUUAUUUCGACAUUGCUCAAGUUAGACUUUGGUCUUUUUACUGCUUUGCUUGAUUGUGUGGUUUUAAUUGUUUACUCAUUGUUAGCACGCACCCUUUGACCUAACAAAGAAGAAGAUGAUGAAUGUCAUUCUGGAUCCUAUCGAGGACUCAACAGAGUCACAAGCGGAGAAAACUUAUUCAUUGCUUGGUAUGUGCCGUGAAACUUUGGCUGUUUCAUUUCAAUGGUGUACAUACAUUACUUUGUCUUUACUUAUUUUCACUGCAGCUUUUGAUGGCCUUCAGAGUUCAUUUGCUGGACAGAAAUCAGUGAGUCUUCUAACGUCUUGCUUCUUCUAAACUUUGUUUUUUAGAAACUGCUGUUCUUAUGAUUAUGUGUCUCACAUUUUUUUUUCAGUCGGUGGGUUUAAUCAACCUGACAUUUAUCGGUGAUGAAUCAUGGCCUCAUUUGCAACAAUAUUAGAACAUCAUUAGAAAAUGUGAAAAUGGAGUUUGCUUUCAACAUUUGUAACAGUUCUAUUUUGAUUCAUCAACAAGCUAUUAAGAUUAUACAUCUUAAAGCAUUACUUAAGAAUAAUCAUUAGAUCUAACAUUUUUUAAAUCAUAUAAAAAUGAUAAGUUUUUAAUUAUAAACUUCUCAAAAGAAUAAUUUCACUGGUAAAAGCAUAAACAGUUACUCAUUUAUUUUAUGAUGCAAAUAAAGAUAAAGCAAAAAAAAAAAAAUACAUAUUUUAAAUUUUCAAAAGAUUUGAGUUUAUGCUUGAGAAACAACCUUUUGGUGUAUAUCAUAUUUUCCAAUUAACAAUUAUGGUAUAUAUGCAAACUUUACCCAACUAUAGGAUCUAUCGUCUUUUCAAUGUAAUCAUUUUUUUAUGUUUUAAUUUGAAAGCUUUUAGUCAAAACAAAGAUAUAGUAUCUAUAUUUUGGUUUUAAGUAGAGAGGAAAUGAGUAUAAUGUCCAAAAACAUAGUUGUGUAAAAAUUAAAAGGAAAAACAUGGAGAAAGCUUCAAAAUGUUUCUGAAUAUAAAAGAAUAGUUGAAUCAUAACUAAGUUUAGUUAAAUUUUUAUUUAUAUUCCUUAGUACUUAUCCCAAAUUUACUUCUUAUAUUAACAAUCAAUCUUGAAUUUCAAUAUUGAACUUAAUCGUAUAAAUUACAAUACUUUUGCGACCAUAUUGGUAUUUGGUAAUACAAAUAAUCGCUUCAUUUUUGGAGUUUAAGUUUUUCUAUCUGAUUGAUAUUAGUAGUUUGAUUAAAAAAAAAGGUCGAUCUGUACAUUAUAAUUGGAGAAAGAAAACAAACAAAAAUCAACCGAAGACUUUUAAGGUAUGUGAAACAAAAAUUAGAAAUAGCAAUUCUCUGCAAUUAAAGAAUAAGUCAAUAAAUAAAAAUACAAAAUAAAACAAAAAA